GUGCUUGCUUCAACAGCACAUAUACUAAAAUUGGAAUGAUACAGAGAAGACCAGCACGGACCCUGCACAAGCAUGACAUGCAAAUUCAUGAAGCGUUCCAUAUUUUA
Molecule: small nuclear RNA, 107 nt
Organism: Ochotona princeps (American pika)
Lineage: Eukaryota; Metazoa; Chordata; Mammalia; Lagomorpha; Ochotonidae
Source: Ensembl